ACGGGAGGCAGCAGUGAGGAAUAUUGGUCAAUGGGCAGAAGCCUGAACCAGCCAAGUCGCGUGAAGGAAGACGGUAUUAUGUAUUGUAAACUUCUUUAGACGCAGAGAAAUAAGGUGCUCGCGAGCACUGAUGCUAGUAUGCGUAGAAUAAGCAUCGGCUAACUCCGUGCCAGCAGCCGCGGUAAUACGGAGGAUGCGAGCGUUAUCCGGAUUUAUUGGGUUUAAAGGGUGCGCAGGCGGUCAAUUAAGUCAGUGGUCAAAUGGUGAGGCUCAACCUCAUUCCGCCAUUGAUACUGGUUGACUUGAUUUCGGUUGAGGUAGGCGGAAUUCGCCGUGUAGCGGUGAAAUGCAUAGAUAUGGCGAAGAACUCCGAUUGCGUAGGCAGCUUACCAAGCCGACAAUGACGCUCAUGCACGAAAGUGCGGGGAUCGAACAGGAUUAGAUACCCUGGUA
RNAcentral lists this ribosomal RNA (453 nucleotides) under uncultured Porphyromonadaceae bacterium. Its description in RNAcentral is "partial 16S ribosomal RNA". It matches the Rfam family "Bacterial small subunit ribosomal RNA", at positions 341 to 792 of the family's 1533-position model. Lineage: Bacteria; Pseudomonadati; Bacteroidota; Bacteroidia; Bacteroidales; Porphyromonadaceae. The record is from RNAcentral.